Molecule: long non-coding RNA, 575 nt
Filed under: Malus domestica (apple)
Lineage: Eukaryota; Viridiplantae; Streptophyta; Magnoliopsida; Rosales; Rosaceae
Description: long non-coding RNA (MDOM_LNC016475)
Source: RNAcentral
CUCUACAAGACUACAACUCUCUCGCCUUGAACUCUCGUAGCAUCUACAACUCCAAGUUUCCAACACCUACAUCACAUCUCACACCUCGCAUUUGGCAUCUGCACCUGCAUCGGAAACUAUGGCUGCUUGCUAGAGAUUUCUAGAAAAAGAGAGGGAGCGAGAGAGAGGAGAGAGAAUUGUUUUGGAUUUUUGUGUCAUGGGCUCACGGGAAGAGUGAAAAUUUAUGUAGGAAGAGAAAUUUUUGUUUGACUUUGCCACGUGUGUGGUUUUUUAGGACUAAAAUAAAUAUAUUUUUAAUGAGGGAAACCUGGUCCAAUUGUUUUUCCAAUUAAAAACAAAGUCCAACUAUGAUUAAUAUAUAUGGGGUAAGUAAAUGUUACAAAAUUAACAAAAAAAAAAAAGUCCUCAAAUUAUACAUUACUAAAGAUAAGUAUCUUACAUUACUAAAUUUCCUUAUUUUCCUCCUAUUUCUAUUUUAUGUUGUUUUAAAUUGUGAACUUGUUGUACAUGUGUCAUCUUACAAGACUCUUCACUAUGGUUAUAUGGCAUAUAUGCUCAAUGUGUUUUUAAAUUUU